Molecule: long non-coding RNA, 436 nt
Filed under: Lynx canadensis (Canada lynx)
Lineage: Eukaryota; Metazoa; Chordata; Mammalia; Carnivora; Felidae
Description: lncRNA (ENSLCNG00005014886.1)
Source: RNAcentral
GUCUUGGGACAAACUUACCAUCACAAAUUGACCAUCAUGACAGCUGAUGCUACCCAUCCAGGAUGGAAGAAUGGGUCUGCACACUUCGUUACACUGUCCUCGAAAGAAAGGCUGAGCAUCUAAGAAUUAUAUCAGCAUUCCAGGACAGGAAGAAAGACAUAGAAGAAAGGAUAAAUGGCUGUAUCAGGACUUUGGAGCAUCCCCAGAAAUCCCAGUAAAGGUUCACUGAGAGCCGGUGCAGUCCUACCACCAUGGCCAUUCCUUAGCUCACGAGGAAGGAACAGCCCAGCGUCAUUUUCUCCAUCCAAAUCUGGCUGCAAUGCCUGAUCCUGCACAACUGCAGGCAUCUUUCCAGGAGUCCAAAGUCAGGGAACGCUCUGGAAUGCGUGGAUGUUGUGAGUUUGGGUCCAGAACACUGGGACAGGAAGGCCGGGCC